CCUACGGAGGCAGCAGUGGGGAAUAUUGGACAAUGGGCGAAAGCCUGAUCCAGCCAUGCCGCGUGUGUGAAGAAGGCCUUCGGGUUGUAAAGCACUUUCAGUGGGGAAGAAAGCCUUGGGGCUAAUACCCUCGAGGAAGGACAUCACCCACAGAAGAAGCACCGGCUAACUCCGUGCCAGCAGCCGCGGUAAUACGGAGGGUGCGAGCGUUAAUCGGAAUUACUGGGCGUAAAGCGCGCGUAGGCGGUCUGAUAAGCCGGUUGUGAAAGCCCCGGGCUCAACCUGGGAACGGCAUCCGGAACUGUCAGGCUAGAGUGCAGGAGAGGAAGGUAGAAUUCCCGGUGUAGCGGUGAAAUGCGUAGAGAUCGGGAGGAAUACCAGUGGCGAAGGCGGUCUUCUGGACUGACACUGACGCUGAGGUGCGAAAGCGUGGGUAGCAAACAGGAUUAGAUACCCCUGUAGUC
Molecule: ribosomal RNA, 464 nt
Filed under: Vreelandella stevensii
Lineage: Bacteria; Pseudomonadati; Pseudomonadota; Gammaproteobacteria; Oceanospirillales; Halomonadaceae
Description: partial 16S ribosomal RNA
Rfam family: Bacterial small subunit ribosomal RNA
Source: RNAcentral